Molecule: ribosomal RNA, 497 nt
Filed under: uncultured bacterium
Lineage: Bacteria
Description: partial 16S ribosomal RNA
Rfam family: Bacterial small subunit ribosomal RNA
Source: RNAcentral
GAUGAACGCUGGCGGCGUGCCUAAUACAUGCAAGUCGAGCGAACAGAUGAGGAGCUUGCUCCUCUGACGUUAGCGGCGGACGGGUGAGUAACACGUGGAUAACCUACCUAUAAGACUGGGAUAACUACGGGAAACCGGAGCUAAUACCGGAUAAUAUAUUGAACCGCAUGGUUCAAUAGUGAAAGACGGUUUUGCUGUCACUUAUAGAUGGAUCCGCGCCGCAUUAGCUAGUUGGUAAGGUAACGGCUUACCAAGGCAACGAUGCGUAGCCGACCUGAGAGGGUGAUCGGCCACACUGGAACUGAGACACGGUCCAGACUCCUACGGGAGGCAGCAGUAGGGAAUCUUCCGCAAUGGGCGAAAGCCUGACGGAGCAACGCCGCGUGAGUGAUGAAGGUCUUCGGAUCGUAAAACUCUGUUAUUAGGGAAGAACAAAUGUGUAAGUAACUACGCACGUCUUGACGGUACCUAAUCAGAAAGCCACGGCUAACUACGUG